UGAACAAAAGUGAAAGGGAAACAUUAUAUAAAACUUAAAAGAGUUCGGGCACUUCUAUCAACAUUUCGAAAAUUUGUAUAGCUAAUUAAAUUACCAAUUUGUGUGUGUGUGUGUGUGUGUGUGUGUGUGUGUGUGUGUGGCACUCUCUACAGUGGCACUUGAGUCGAUUCAA
Molecule: small RNA, 172 nt
Filed under: Drosophila guanche
Lineage: Eukaryota; Metazoa; Arthropoda; Insecta; Diptera; Drosophilidae
Source: RNAcentral